UACGUAGGGCGCAAGCGUUAUCCGGAAUUAUUGGGCGUAAAGAGCUCGUAGGCGGUCUGUCGCGUCUGCUGUGAAAAUCCAGGGCUCAACCCUGGACCUGCGGUGGGUACGGGCAGACUAGAGUGUGGUAGGGGAGACUGGAAUUCCUGGUGUAGCGGUGAAAUGCGCAGAUAUCAGGAGGAACACCGAUGGCGAAGGCAGGUCUCUGGGCCACUACUGACGCUGAGAAGCGAAAGCGUGGGGAGCGAACAGG
This 253-nucleotide ribosomal RNA is filed under the name uncultured bacterium. RNAcentral's name for it is "partial 16S ribosomal RNA". It matches the Rfam family "Bacterial small subunit ribosomal RNA", at positions 524 to 776 of the family's 1533-position model. The record is from RNAcentral.